RNAcentral lists this ribosomal RNA (480 nucleotides) under Sulfitobacter pontiacus. RNAcentral describes it as "bacterial SSU rRNA". It matches the Rfam family "Bacterial small subunit ribosomal RNA", at positions 408 to 906 of the family's 1533-position model. The record is from RNAcentral. Lineage: Bacteria; Pseudomonadati; Pseudomonadota; Alphaproteobacteria; Rhodobacterales; Roseobacteraceae.
AUGAAGGUCUUAGGAUCGUAAAGCACUUUCGCCAGGGAUGAUAAUGACAGUACCUGGUAAAGAAACCCCGGCUAACUCCGUGCCAGCAGCCGCGGUAAUACGGAGGGGGUUAGCGUUGUUCGGAAUUACUGGGCGUAAAGCGUACGUAGGCGGAUUGGAAAGUUGGGGGUGAAAUCCCAGGGCUCAACCCUGGAACUGCCUCCAAAACUAUCAGUCUAGAGUUCGAGAGAGGUGAGUGGAAUUCCAAGUGUAGAGGUGAAAUUCGUAGAUAUUUGGAGGAACACCAGUGGCGAAGGCGGCUCACUGGCUCGAUACUGACGCUGAGGUACGAAAGUGUGGGGAGCAAACAGGAUUAGAUACCCUGGUAGUCCACACCGUAAACGAUGAAUGCCAGUCGUCGGGCAGUAUACUGUUCGGUGACACACCUAACGGAUUAAGCAUUCCGCCUGGGGAGUACGGUCGCAAGAUUAAAACUCAAAG